This 99-nucleotide non-coding RNA is filed under the name Saimiri boliviensis boliviensis (Bolivian squirrel monkey). The record is from RNAcentral. Lineage: Eukaryota; Metazoa; Chordata; Mammalia; Primates; Cebidae.
AGCUGGUCCCCUGUGGUGCUGUUUACAACUCAUUGAUCACAAUCAGUUAGACUUCUUUCCUCCUUUUCUACCCCUACAACUUCAUUUGACUAGCCUUCA